This 100-nucleotide non-coding RNA is filed under the name Bacillus sp. (in: firmicutes). RNAcentral describes it as "Bacillus sp. Guanine sequence". It matches the Rfam family "Purine riboswitch aptamer". Rfam says of the family: Riboswitches are metabolite binding domains within certain messenger RNAs that serve as precision sensors for their corresponding targets. Allosteric rearrangement of mRNA structure is mediated by ligand binding, and this results in modulation of gene expression. The record is from RNAcentral. Lineage: Bacteria; Bacillati; Bacillota; Bacilli; Caryophanales; Bacillaceae.
AUAAAAUUCGUAUAAGAUGUUCGUAUAUCCCCGAAGAUAAGGUUUGGGGGUCUCUACAGGGAACCGUAAAUUCCUGGCUACGGAUAGGGUGCUUUGGCAU